CAGUCGCCGCGGGAAUACGUAGGUGGCAAGCGUUGUCCGGAAUUAUUGGGCGUAAAGGGCUCGCAGGCGGUUCCUUAAGUCUGAUGUGAAAGCCCCCGGCUCAACCGGGGAGGGUCAUUGGAAACUGGGAAACUUGAGUGCAGAAGAGGAGAGUGGAAUUCCACGUGUAGCGGUGAAAUGCGUAGAGAUGUGGAGGAACACCAGUGGCGAAGGCGACUCUCUGGUCUGUAACUGACGCUGAGGAGCGAAAGCGUGGGGAGCGAACAGGAUUAGAUACCCGGGUAGUCCCUGUCUCUUAUAA
Molecule: ribosomal RNA, 301 nt
Filed under: uncultured bacterium
Lineage: Bacteria
Description: partial 16S ribosomal RNA
Rfam family: Bacterial small subunit ribosomal RNA
Source: RNAcentral